This 198-nucleotide ribosomal RNA is filed under the name uncultured bacterium. RNAcentral describes it as "partial 16S ribosomal RNA". It matches the Rfam family "Bacterial small subunit ribosomal RNA", at positions 328 to 539 of the family's 1533-position model. The record is from RNAcentral.
ACGCUCGACACCUACGGGAGGCAGCAGUGGGGAAUAUUGCACAAUGGGGGGAACCCUGAUGCAGCGACGCCGCGUGAGUGAAGAAGUACUUCGGUAUGUAAAGCUCUAUCAGCAGGGAAGAAAAUGACGGUACCUGACUAAGAAGCCCCGGCUAACUACGUGCCAGCAGCCGUGGUAAUCUGAGCGGGCUGGCAAGGC